AACCUCCGCAAUGUGAGAAAUCGCGACGGGGGGAUCCCAAGUGCCAUUCUUAACGGGAUGGCUUUUCAUUAGUGUAAAGAGCUUUUGGAAUAAGAGCUGGGCAAGACCGGUGCCAGCCGCCGCGGUAACACCGGCAGCUCUAGUGGUAACAAUUUUUAUUGGGCCUAAAGCGUCCGUAGCCGGUUUAAUAAGUCUCUGGUGAAAUCCUGCAGCUUAACUGUGGGAAUUGCUGGAGAUACUAUUAGACUUGAGACCGGGAGAGGUUAGAGGUACUCCCAGGGUAGAGGUGAAAUUCUGUAAUCCUGGGAGGACCGCCUGUUGCGAAGGCGUCUAACUGGAACGGUUCUGACGGUGAGGGACGAAAGUUAGGGGCGCGAACCGGAUUAGAUACCCGGGUAGUCCUAACUGUAAACGAUGCGGACUUGGUGUUGGGGUGGCUUUGAGCUGCUUCAGUGCCGAAGGGAAGCUGUUAAGUCCGCCGCCUGGGAAGUACGGUCGCAAGACUGAAACUUAAAGGAAUU
RNAcentral lists this ribosomal RNA (521 nucleotides) under uncultured bacterium. Its description in RNAcentral is "bacterial SSU rRNA". It matches the Rfam family "Archaeal small subunit ribosomal RNA", at positions 345 to 866 of the family's 1478-position model. The record is from RNAcentral.